ACUCUUCUAGUAUAGCCAUUACAAUCGACUUCCAAUCCUUAAAGUCUGGUGCAACCCCAGAGAAGAGUA
Molecule: transfer RNA, 69 nt
Filed under: Garrulax canorus (Chinese hwamei)
Lineage: Eukaryota; Metazoa; Chordata; Aves; Passeriformes; Leiothrichidae
Description: tRNA-Gly
Source: RNAcentral